Molecule: non-coding RNA, 5700 nt
Organism: Chlorocebus sabaeus (green monkey)
Lineage: Eukaryota; Metazoa; Chordata; Mammalia; Primates; Cercopithecidae
Source: RefSeq, a predicted model, not a curated record
CGACUAUCUCUUCCUCCCUGAAAAGGAAGAAAGAGGAGUUAGGACGAGAGCGCCGCGGAGUCCUCCCCCACCAGCAUCCGUCUGCUGUGGUCCCAGGUGGGUGCUGAGCCCCUGGGUGUCUCUCUCAUCUGCUAACAGAAAUGGCACCACGGAGAGUUAGUCUUUUCCUUCCUUUUCUCCCGACCUCCCUCAGCAAAUGCUAAUUGAAUUUUCAGUUCUGUGAGAAAGAGUCUCUGGAAUCUGAUUCCCAGGGCCCAGGGAGUGGUGCCCUGCGUCACCACCCUUCUGCGUCACAGCGCUGCUCUUCCGUGGGUGAAAGUGUAACCGCUCAUUGCUUUGCUUUGAAGGAGCACUUCGUCUCUUCAGCCAGAGAUUCCAGAGCGGCUGGGGGGAACUGCCAACCACAACAGGAGCAAGUUCUUUUUCGGAGGGACCCUAGCACACCCCUUGCUGCACACACCAGAAAAGAGCAAAGCCACAUGUCCAUCCCUGGGGACGUCCCUCCUGUGUGCCAUCUCAUCUGCCACACCACACAAAUCAAAUGCACAGAGAGCUUUGUCUGCAAACUUUGAAGGGGUCUUAAAGUCAUGCAUUUACAUGUUUGGGGGACAGAUAAUUUCGAUGCUUAAGAAAGAGUUGGCAGCUAACUGAAAUGGUGCACAGGUGUGCCGUGGCCCACGGUGUGGAGGUAGCCAGGCGUGGGCAUCCCUCUAGAAGGAGGCAUGCGUUGGUCACACAGAACGUCAUUUAGAUUGACAAAGCAGAACUGCACUUUUUCUGCAUUGAAAUUUUUAUUCAAAUUUUAGUCUCUCUCCUUGGGUUUCCCCUUUUAUGAAAUGAUCAAUUUUGGUGAAGAGUCCCCAGAAAGCAAGACAGAAAAGAAAUAUGCUCUUCACCGUGGCUGAUCAGCAAUGAACUAACGCUGUCCUCAUCUAAUUCUGUGUCUUCCACACUGCCCAGUAAAUGCAUAACCAGAGUGCGGACGCCAAGAAUCCUUACAAAGAAUGCAACUAACAGACCAAGCCCAGGAGCCAAAGCUCAGCCAGCCCGAGCGAGCCAGGAUUAGAGCCUGCAUGGAUGCAGCAGUCACGCUUCUCUCUAUUAUGUGUCUUGCAACUUGGAGUCGCAUGAUCUAAGCAUCUGAUCUGCCCUGGGCUCAGGUCAGGAUAAGACUGAACUCACAAGGUAAGGGUUAGACUGACCUCCUCUCUCAGGACAGGAAAAGAACAGAACCUACUUUUGAUACUGUUGCCUCCACUUUGACGCCUCACAACUCCACAGCAACACUACAGGUGGGAAAACGUUCACAUGUAUGUUCGCGGAAGUUAAUACACAUGGAAACAGGAGGCUCCUAUGAUGUUCCGAUGUGGUUUCCGAGUGAUGGGGUGACCUGCAUAGUUUUUUCUACCCAGUUCCUACCGACAAUGCUAGACUUCCAGAUUUGAGUCUUUUCCUCUCACUACUGAUUUCCAACAGCGCCAGAAAGAACAGAAAGAUGGUAAAAUGACAUUAAAUGCUAUGAAGUUCCUGUCCUCUCCACCUGCCUGCCUCUAAACCCCUCAUUUCUGGGGGAGCUGUGAUUUAUUAAUCUAUUGGAACUGCUCCAAGUCAACUCAUUCAACCAUACGGCCAUAGUAGGCCAGUUAUGAACUUUUUAUGCAGUAAAAUUUAAUUACAACCAUAUGAUUUGCAAUUUGCUUUGAUACAUUGAUGCUUCCCUUGAACUCUACGGAAAUUAAAUAAUUUUUUAAAGCUGCUUACAAAAAAAUUCAGGGAAAAUACUGAACUUAUUUAAGAAAAUACAUGCGUACAGUACAUUGGUUAUAUUUGCACACAGUAAACAUGCAGAUCUAAAUGCAGCUUUCUGUUCCUCAGGGUGGUCUUGGUAAGCUCUGGCCUUGCAAGCAUUUCGAGUGACUGGUUGUAAGCCUUGCAUAUAUUGCAAGGAAAUAUUUGCUAAAUGGGGCCCCUCACUCAUCUGGGCCAUCCCAUUAAUUCUGAGCCAGCACUCAACUCUCUCAGUGUGUCUAACAGUCCUUAAGCUGGCAGUGGAGGAAUUAGUUAUCCAGAUGGGAUGAAUCUGUGUUUCCCAAGUAAGCACGGUGUCUGCAAAAUCAUCACAACUGGCAACACCUAAUUCACCCUUGGACAUUCUGACUCAGUGAGCCUGUGGCAGAGCCCAGACAGACAGGGGUCUGGGCGUGCAUCCCAGGCGAUUCAGAGGCAGGUGUGGUACUGGCCAGGUGGGGAGGGGCCGUCCUGACUGCAGUGCUGGGUUCAGACACUGCUCCCCGGGGAGCCUCAUCUCUGCCCUCUUGUGGCCACACCCCAGAACUGCGGCAGUGUACAGCAUGAUGGCCCUGAGACUUGAAUAUUUGGAGAAUUUAUUUUCUUACUCAGAAUUUACGUUGAGGAGUGAAUCCUGCUUACCACUUUAGCUGACAUAAAGCAAGUAAGCAGCUCAGUUACUCACUGCUCACUUCAUAUAUUAAAAGCUUUUCCUAAGACCGGCUAUCCUUAAGAUCUUGGGCUGUGCCAUGAAUUGCCUGUUGUCCACAGAACCUCGCAGAACUUUCCAGAAUUGAGGCUCAUGGCAGAGGUUCUGCACUCACCGAGGACGCGGGGGGACCGUGUCUGUGCCCAUGUGGAUCCCAGCGGGCUGGGCAGAGCACACUGCACAUCCAGACUCAAUAAGUACAUGGAGUCAAAGGUGAGGUCACUGAAUCAAUGAGUAUGUUACACACCAAGAAAGACUGCUCCUCUCUGCACCCCGGGGAGGCCCCCCAGAGGCCUGGUCUCCUCCAAGACGAAAAUGCAAACGCAGGUGCCUCGGGGGGACUCCCAGGCCGUCUGGCUUUGUGGUUCUCUCCCGGCCCUGCCUGAGCUUCGUGUGCCUCCGCUUUUGCUUCACGAGAGCAGCUGUCUAAGAGCUCUGGUUUUCUGGGUGACGUUUAACAAUAAUAAAGGUGACUGUUUAUCUAAGGAAUCCGAGCCCCGCACCUGCCAGCGCGUUUUGUGUUUGUCACUACCUUUUACUUUCACAGCGAGUUUGUGAGCUGAGUGGAAGGGUUACCUCCAUUUUACAGAUGAGAAAACCGAGGCUCAGAGACACGGCUCACAAACAACGGGCCUGGCAUUUGUCCUGGGUCUGGUUCCAGGUCCUCAUGAGCCAACGGGCCACUCCCCACUCCCUGAGGUCUCCUGGGCAUCCCCUCCCGUGGCUCCAGGGAUCUCCCCCAACACCCACGUCUGCUUGGUUCUUGCUUGCUCUCUGAGGGCUCCAACCCCUGAGCAUGGGCAAAUUGGAUUCCAGCUGGGCCCUGCCCCAGAGUCAAGGUCAGCUGCCUGCUCCAGGGCCCCUGAACCAGCCCAGGCGCAGCCCUUCCUCAGGUGCCUCCGGCCCCACAUGCAUCUCGGAGGAAACCCGCGCGUAAAUGCGAGUGGGCAAUGCCACCUGAGCCUCUGCACGCCCACUGGGCCAGAGCACACCCAGGGUACAGUGCGGCUGAGUCAGAGGCGGCAGCCACCCUUGUGCUCAGCUCAGUUGGGGAGUCUGGGACCCUUUAGUCCCCGCUCAGUGGAGCUGAGCAGAGGGUACCUUACCAGCUUAAAAAUUCUGGAAAGCGUGCCCUGGGCAUCGACUCCCUUGAAUCCCUUGUGAGCCGAUUUAUAGUCGGACGCUCUGCCUCCGUAGCCAAAUCCUGGUUUCUGCCCUUCGGCCCCCUGCAAGAAAAGACCACAGAGCUCAGCCUCCACCCGCAGUGCUAGGCAGGCUGCUCGAGCCACUGGGAGCUGCCACCAGGGCCCCGGGGAAGGGCCCAGGCCCCGGACUGGACUGGUGAGUGGUUCAGGAGCCACGGGCCAGCACCGCGCUGAGGGGGUGGGGGCGGGAGAGGCUGCUCCCCCAGAUCUACCGGGGUGUUGGCCGCAGAGAGAGGAGCGCUCUGGUUUGGGCGGAGGCUCUCUCAUGAGAUAAUGCGGCCCAAACACACAUAUUUUAAGGAUCUAAAUCAUUUAGGGAACAGUUGCUUACCUUCACGCUGUGGGGUGUUCAAGAGAAGAUUAGCAAACAUCAAGCAAAUCAAGGUAAGGAGGCUCCUGCCUACACGUGUUUGGAGGACUUGGACCCUGGGGGGCUGUGCGGUGUGUAGGUACCAGUCCCUGGAGGCCCUGGCCCGCGCCCUUUCCUGGGGGCUCCUUUUGCUGAUUGAUUUGCACAGAUUGGAUUCUGGUCACAUGGGCUCUGUGGUUCUAGGAUCUGUCUGGGAAAUCGAGAGUCCUUGGCCUUAGUGAAAUGUCGAGCCUCAUAUCUUUUAUAAGGUUUUGAGACAAAAUCCUGAGCUCUCUCCCAGGCGUGAGCAGGAAUCAAGUCUCCUUGGCCAUAGCUCGGACUGGGAGCAAGGCCCUUGCCAGGAGCCCGGGGCUGCUGAACUGGACAGAGGGAGGAGGCAGGCCUGGCUGGCACGGGGGGCAGCCGCGUCCUGGCAGCAGCGGGACAGCGUCUCCUCCCAUUCCCCCAGCACCUUUCUGGCUCCUCCAGCUGUGUGGCCUUGGGCAAGGGCAGGAACCUCUCUGAGCUUCAGUUUCCUCAUCUACACAAUGGGGUUGUGCAAGAACAUGCUCCUCAGUGGAGGCUGCCAACUCUGGGCUUUGGUGCCAGCUGUCGUUAUGGAAGUGGGAACUCCACUGCAAACAUGGGGAGGAACGGAAGGAGCUCGCUGUGGAGUCUGAACGCGGUGGACAUUAACACCCGGGGGCGAAGUGUCCUCCCACGGUGGGUGGGUGCACUGUCUGUGGGAAGGCCGACCGCGCUGUUAGCUUUUCAGGGUGGCAUCUUGGUUGGUCUCGUGAAUCUCUACUUAACGGACAGGGUCCAGACUGCACUUCAUGUUUUGCCAACAAGAAAUGGGAGACUCUCCUGGUGCCCUCUCCUGAAGACUUGUGGAGACCAAACCAAACUGUCUCCCCUCCAUCAGCCUGCAGCCUUUUUUCCAUUUCAUUAAAGUGUUUUAGGACAGGGAGGACCUUGAGCAACCUAGCCCAUCUCUUAUUUAGAGGUGAGGAAGAUGACGCCAGAGGGCUCAAGGCUUCCAGAGCACCUGGCUGCACCCACAGCCUCUGCUGGGCGCUUCCCACCCUACAUGCUACUUGUACAGUUUUCUUUUCAUUCAACCUGUGCUUGGGAGCGAGCACGGCCACUCAGAGCCAGGCAGCUGCUUUUGUGUGAACAGUUGAUUCAGGGGCUAUCCAGUGAGGUGAGGGACAGGGGAUGUGUGGCAAGAAGGUCUAAGCACCAUGCACGAGGGGACAGCCAGCCUCGCCCUUGCGUCCCAGAGGUUUCCAGGUUUGCGCUCACUCCCUGAUGGCAGAGGGUGCGGGAGGCCAGGCUGUCAGCUCCACGUGGCAGAGAGCCGCUUCCCCUGCAAGCGCUACAUCAUUCUGUCCUAGUCUAUUGCUUGUCUCCAAAAAUAGAGUUUUCGAGAACUAAAUCCGGGGAUUGACUUUCAGAUUAAUAAUCUGCUUGGCCUUUCCUCCUUUCAAAUCCUCAGUCAUGUUUAUCUUUGGGCAACCUAGAAUGUACCGGGAAACACACAACACAGUUUAGAAAGAGAAAGUGGGGCUCUCCGGAACUCCAGACAAGGAGAGAGUCCUGCGGCUCUGGGAAACAGACAAGCAGACAACAUGCAGAGGAGGGUUUUG